This is a non-coding RNA of Podarcis lilfordi (Lilford's wall lizard), 182 nucleotides long. The record is from the annotation of a GenBank genome assembly. NCBI's taxonomy places the organism in Eukaryota, Metazoa, Chordata, Lepidosauria, Squamata, Lacertidae.
GGAUGUGAGGGCGAUCUGGCUGCGACAUCUGUCACCCCAUUGAUCGCCAGGGUUGAUUCGACUGAUCUGGCUGGCUAGGCAGGUGUCCCCUUCCUCCCUCACCGCUCCAUGUGCAUCCUUCCCGAAGCUGCGCGCUCGGUGGAAGAGGACGACCAUCCCAGACAGAAGGAGUGUACAGUGGU